CCUACGGGAGGCAGCAGUGGGGAAUAUUGGACAAUGGGGGAAACCCUGAUCCAGCGACGCCGCGUGAGUGAAGAAGUAUUUCGGUACGUAAAGCUCUAUCAGCAGGAAAGAAAAUGACGGUACCUGACUAAGAAGCCCCGGCUAACUACGUGCCAGCAGCCGCGGUAAUACGUAGGGGGCAAGCGUUAUCCGGAUUUACUGGGUGGAAAGGGAGCGUGGACGGCAGAGCAAGUCUGGAGUGAAAUGCCGGGGCCCAACCCCGGAACUGCUCUGGAAACUGUGAAGCUGGAGUGCAGGAGAGGGAAGCGGAAGUCCUGGUGUAGCGGUGAAAUGCGUAGAUAUCAGGAGGAACACCGGCGGCGAAGGCGGCUUACUGGACUGUAACUGACGUUGAGGUUCAAAGGCGUGGGGAGCAAACAGGAUUAGAUACCCCUGUAGUC
This 440-nucleotide ribosomal RNA is filed under the name uncultured bacterium. Its description in RNAcentral is "partial 16S ribosomal RNA". It matches the Rfam family "Bacterial small subunit ribosomal RNA", at positions 338 to 795 of the family's 1533-position model. The record is from RNAcentral.